GUGCUCACUUCAGCAGCACAUAUACUGAAAUUGGAAUAACACAGAGAAGAUUAGCAUGGCCAGCCCUGUGCAAGGAUGACAUGAAAAUUCAUGAAGCGUUCUGUAUUUUA
Cavia aperea (Brazilian guinea pig) is the source of this 110-nucleotide small nuclear RNA. The record is from Ensembl. Lineage: Eukaryota; Metazoa; Chordata; Mammalia; Rodentia; Caviidae.